CAUUCAUAUGGUCAGUUUGCACAUCAUAUUUGUUUUGAAGCAAGAAGUCAAAUAGAACACAGUUCCCUUGUUUGUUUACUGAAAGUUCUUCCUUUUUUUGUUGUAUUGUUUAUCAUGGAACUUCAGUUGUGUGUUGUCAGUGUGUACAUUACGGGCUCUUACUACAGUAUCCGCUAAACUGAACCCACUUGACAGGCAUGUGCAGGAAAUGUUUAGCCAAAAAUAAGUCUAUAAACAUGGAUAUAAUCAAAACCUGAAGGGUUGUUGGUAUGUUGGAAACACUGUGCAGCUUAAAUAUAGUUCUCUCUUACGAGGUUAUAGAGUGAUGGUCAUAGAUGACGUCAGGGCCAGUUUUCUAUUUUGUUCUCAGCUCUGAUUGGCUGAGACAUAGCGUUGAGGUUAAUCUUCUGGGUUAUGAUUGGCUCAGAGAUAGAGUUGAGAGUUAUGUACAACAGACUAAGGGGAAGAUACCCCUGGACACUCAUCUUGGUUCAGUUUUGCAUUGUCCUCACUAAUGGUUAAGGUUAGGAUUGGGGGAGGGGAUUAUAGCUGAUCCUAGAUCUGUACCUAGGGGAAACGUGAAGGCAUUCAAAUCUUUACCUCCACCUACCGAACAAUGUGGUAAUAUUGCGUUACAGGUUAGGUUACUCUCUUAGUCUUCUCACAAUCCUUCCAUAGUGAUUCUAAUACAAUUUUCUCAUGGCUUAUUCAUUUAAAAUGGUUUUGAAUGUUUAGAGAAGAAAGCAUGUCUCUUAUAGCACAAGCAAACAUAUACAGCUGUGUUUGUAUUCGUAGUGUCAGCAGAAGAAGUGACCAAGUGCCAUGUAAUGUUCAGUAAAACAUUAAUUGGUCAUUAUUUUCUGAAUCAACCACUAUCUUAACAGACAACUCUCUUCUGCCUUUGCUUAUCAUGCAUAUAUGCUAACCUCUACCUAUUUAUGUGUGUAUCUGUGUUUGUCAACAUCCAUAUAUUCAGGAAUAUGUGUAUGGGCACAUAUAUUUAUACUUGCAGCCAUAGAUGCAGUAUAUUUCAAAAGAUGUGUAGAGAUUUUUUUAUUUUCUUCCUUAAUGGUGUUUUUCAGUGUGACUUUGAUUUAAUGUUGUUUUUUUCGACGUGCAAGGAGAUGCUGCCAUUUGUGUUGAGGUGGCUGCCAACAGCUGUAUAUAAACAAGUAGUGGGACAAGACAACUGGAGGCAAAUCUGAUAGUGCUGGGUUUGGCAAAGUGACGCAGGAUGUAUCCCAAAUUACACCUUUUUCAAAAGUAGUGCACUACAUACUCUAGGGAAUAGGGUGCCAUUUGGGAUCCUUCAUUUUAAACUGUCAUCUUGAUUGACCAAUCUCCGACCGUCUGUCUGGAUGUGAUAACUACAUAACUCCAUAACUCCAGUGUGAGAAAUGACCGUCUGUCUGGAUGUGAUGAUAACUACAUAACUCCAUAACUCCAGUGUGAGAAAUGACCGUCUGUCUGGAUGUGAUGAUAACUACAUAACUCCAUAACUCCAGUGUGAGAAAUGACCGUCUGUCUGGAUGUGAU
Long non-coding RNA from Oncorhynchus tshawytscha (Chinook salmon), 1536 nucleotides. The record is from Ensembl. NCBI's taxonomy places the organism in Eukaryota, Metazoa, Chordata, Actinopteri, Salmoniformes, Salmonidae.